Molecule: ribosomal RNA, 236 nt
Filed under: uncultured bacterium
Lineage: Bacteria
Description: partial 16S ribosomal RNA
Rfam family: Bacterial small subunit ribosomal RNA
Source: RNAcentral
CCGGCACGGGUGAGUAACACGUAUCCAACCUGCCGUCUACUCUUGGACAGCCUUCUGAAGGAAGAUUAAUACAAGAUGGCAUCAUGAGUCCGCAUGUUCACAUGAUUAAAGGUAUUCCGGUAGACGAUGGGGAUGCGUUCCAUUAGAUAGUAGGCGGGGUAACGGCCCACCUAGUCUUCGAUGGAUAGGGGUUCUGAGAGGAGGGUCCCCCACAUUGGAACUGAGACACGGUCCAA